Molecule: unclassified non-coding RNA, 456 nt
Filed under: Hevea brasiliensis (rubber tree)
Lineage: Eukaryota; Viridiplantae; Streptophyta; Magnoliopsida; Malpighiales; Euphorbiaceae
Source: RNAcentral
CACAAACAAAAAGCAGAGAUCAGAUCCGGAGAUCUAGAUAGCGAAGGCAACAGCAACAGCGCCGGCGACAGCGAUCCAGCUGGCGGCGGCCAUAGAGGCAGCGCUCGGUGGGGUAGUGGCGGAAGGAGAGACGCCAGGAGCACCGCCGAUGGAGGGAGUUGUAGCACCGGGGGAGGACGCCGGGGCGCUGGGAGCCGGCGGAGAGGUGACUGGAGCAGAUGAGGGAACGGCGGCGGGUGGGGAGACAGGAGCUAUGGUAGGAGGUGAGACGGGGGCGGCGGCGGGAGGCGUCACGGGAGGUUUGGCGGGCGGGGAGAUGGGAGCUGGUUUCGGAGGUGAGACAGUGGGGGCGGCCGCUGGGGCUUGGGCGAAGGCGGUGGCGGCGAGGAGAGAGAGCGCCAGAGCGAGGAUUUGGACCGAUGAAAUCGCCAUUGUUAAGAUCUGAGAGAGAGGGGG